AGCUCUGCCCAUGUUGUUGUGGUUUGGCAUGGCUCGGAAUAAUGAAUCUUAUUAGCAGCUAUUGUUUCCUUUGGAAAUUACUUACUAUACAGAGCAGGUAUUAGAGAUGGAUUCGGUGUAAUAACUAUAUGUGCAUGCUAGAUGUCACUCUACAAGAUCCAAAAUAUGAAGAGAUAUGGAUUGUGUGUGUACACAUCAAAUACACUGCAAUAUAAUGUUAUGUGUUUUAAAAUCUGUCUGCUAGUCUGUCAGCCUUCUCUUCCUGAAGAACUUUGUGUGAGAGAGGUACUAUCAGAAGCAGAGAGGAAAGGGGAAACUGUUGCUUCUGUCAUGAGAACAUCCCUUGAAUGUCCUAGGAACUGCAGCAGGGAAACACAAAGGAAGGCUGAGUAUACAGGUCUGCAUGCUUUUGUACCAAGUGUGGACACUUCCCCUAUGCCCACAAAUAUUUACAAGAGUAGAUGCUCCUAGUAAAGAUUAGAAUUAAAAUUUAAUUAAAAUAUGAUAAAGUGAAAACUAUAUAACUGGGUAGCAGGGGCAGCAGUGCAGGGUAUGAGCUGUGUCAGGCCUGAUUGAUUCUUGCUGGUGGUCAGAUCCUGUGCAGACGCUGCUGCACAGAACUUGGCAAAAUUAUGUGUUAUGAGAGGGUUGCAGUCAGAGAGUAGUAGGCAGAUGUAGAACUGGCUUGUGCAGCCUGUCAACCUUGUAAGUAGUGGGAGCAUGAGGGUCCUGCAGAUGUCUCUAUAAAAUAGGCAGUGUAGGAGGAUGUGCUUGGUGGUUUCAACUUGCUCAGCAUCGCAGGGGCACAGACAUUCUGGGAAGGGAAUCUUCUUGUAUCUUCCAUCUAACACAGCCGAAGGGAGGCGUGCAACAGGCUAGAGUGAAGGCUCUUCUGUGGUUAUGGGCCUUGAGCUGCAUUACAUAGACAGCAGGUGCCACUAUGUACUUUAGGCUUUCAGUGAUAGGGAGGUUUGGGGGAUUUAGGUCAGAUUGGCACUCUGUGUCCAUUAUGCAUGGUUUAAGAAGUGUCCUGGCCUGCUCAUAACCCAGGGAAAGUAGUUGGUUUGGAGGAGAGCCCAAGUUAUGUUAGUUUCUCCAUAUAUGUAGUAACCUCGUUUUGUCCAGCAGAAUUUUAAGAUGACAGCAGCACGCCUCUGUGCAUUUGGGGUAACAUAGUUGCCAUGGCUAUUCCUGGUGCCGGAUGUGUGAAAGACUCCCCCGCCCCAGUUUGGCUUGCAAGAUGGAGUCGAAUGCAGACUUGAGGUCUAUGAAGGCAGAGUACAGAGAGACUGUGUUGUGAGUGGAAUAUUUCUCAAUUAGGUUUUGGAGUACUAGGCAUUGGUCAAUGGUGGAUUGUCCCUCCCUGAAUCCGGACAGUCUCUUAGUUUCCAAUACAGGUGUCUGCAGUAGAGCUUGCUGAAAUUGCUGAGCAGGCUGAAGGUUCUAUAAUUUCCUGGGUCAUCCCUCCUACCUUUUUGAAGAUGGGAACAAUAAUUGCUAACCCCCAGUCCCUAGGGAUGUGUCCGUGCUUAUCAAUAAAAGUAAAUAGUGAUGCCAGAAUGGGAGCUCACCAUGCUGAGUUAUUUUUUAUUAGCACAGAGGGGAUUAGAUUGUCAACAGGAGCCUUCCCAGGUCUUAGAUGAGAGAUCAGAUCCCUGAUCUCUACAAGCGUCACUGUCGGCCAGGAAGGCUGGUCAUCUAUGUCACGGUUUCUCAACCACCGGCCCCUGGACCGCUGCCGGUCCACCGAGGGUUGAGUGCCAGUCCAUGCCUUCUAUCCACCCGCCCCCCAGCAACACUUUCUCUCCCCGCCGGGCUCCCUCCCUCCCCGCCAUUUUUGCCCACCCGCUUCCUCUACCAGGGCCCGCCGCUGCCACAUGGCCCAGGAGAUGGCUGUGGGGUGUGUGUGAGCAUUCUACCCACCCCCCGGCGGCAGCUGAUACAAGAGCGAUGCCGUGGCCUGCUGUCUAGCCUGGCAUCGCUUCCCAAUUACGAGGUGCGCUUGCGUGCCCGGGGUCGUGCACCCUGCCCCAGCCUGGCGCGCCCCCAACAAACCCAGGUAGCACACCCAUGUUUCCCAAAAAAGGUCCACCGCUGGCGGCAGGGGCUGGUCGACGGGUGACCCUAUGGCCAGCUGGGCUCAGCAGUGCUGAUGCAAGCUGCUGACCGAGGGCAGGCAGCGUCCCAGUCUGGCAUGGUGAGGCUCCAGCGCAGGCACCGGCGGCGGGGUCCAAUCCAUUGUGCAUGACCAACAGCCAAUGCAGCCCACCGAGCGAGCCACCUUCCCACUGGCUGCCUGCCCAGCAGGAGAGCGGGGAGAUCCGGCGAGGGGCCGGCCAAGCCAAGUGCCCUCCUCCGCCUCUGAGCUUGGGGAACCCCCCACCUCGGCACCUCCUCACCAGCCACUUCUCUCCCCCGAUGCCAAUUGCCUGGCUCUGUAGCAACCUGGCAGCAGGCAGGCAGACAUUCAGCAGAUGAACACACACACACACACACACCCCUUUUCUUUACUUCUACGCCAGGAAAAGCUUCCCCUCCUGGUGAUCACCAUUCCCCUGGUGAUGCUUGCUAUGCCGCUUAUUCCCACCACCCAUACCCAUUGGGGGCUAGAUUUCUGCCCAUGCAAUUGUGGAAAUGGACAUUGGACCCAACCCCCCCCCCAAUUACCUGAUGUGCCUUGAAAUCUUUUCCCAUGAGUUACAGUACUGUGUGCAUAUACUUUAUAACCCUGUGGGUUACCAAACCCUUGUGUGUGAAACUCUGGGCCUCCAGAACUGCCGGAGAACAGGGACCCCUGGAACAACGGGGAACGGACUAGGGCAGAAGGCAGGGGGAAGCAACGGGGAGAGAAAGCUCUGGGAAGGAAAGCUUUGAGGAAUUCUCAUCAAUUAUUCUUGUAAACAGCAGAGAUAGAGCAAAGAGUACUUCAAAUGAAUGCCUGACAAUGCAAAUGACAUUGAUAUGAAUGAUUCAGUUUCUUGGAUUAAUAUAAUUUUUUUCUUGACACUAGUGCUAGCCUCAGACCAGCACCUGUAGUGUGAAACCCACUUUCUGUGUAAUACAAAGAGGAGGGAUGCUUGAAAAACUACUUUUGUAAGUCUUUGCAUGGUGUUGGCUUUCCCAUGUGGCACCUAUGGCUUUUCACAUGUGGCACCUAUGGCUGGAAGCCAGUGCAUGUGCAGUGGAUACCAUGCCAGAGAGGUCCUUAGGAUCACAGCCUAAGAAAUCCCAUACUACCAUUUUUAAAAAGGCACUUUCAGUAGGAGUAAACCCUCCUGUUUAAAUGACAAUGCAUUUUAUUGUUAUGUAUUUUGUACAGAUUUUAUUGUAUUUAUUCUAUUAGCAUUUUUAAUUCAAUUCAUUUUAUUUUAUUUUUAUUUUAUUUACAGCAAUGUAGCGGUCCUUGAAACUCCACACGAAGAAUUUAGCAGUCCUUGACUCCAAAAAGGUUGAGAAACACUGCUCUAUGUCAUGCCGAAGACAUCUAUGGUCCCCUACUUCACAGCUCACUGUUAGUUAGAUUUAUAUGUCACCCUACUCCCAUAGGACUCAAGGCGGCAUUGGUGGAAUGCAGCUGUCCAGAUGUGUCAGGCCAUUGCUAGGGUGAUGCGCGAUGAUGCGCAAGAAUAGGGCUGGGUCAUUGGUUCUGACUGCUUGGAUGAGAUGUGACCAGGUGUGAGUUCAGUAUGGGGUGAUUCUAAUACAUAUGACUCCGGAGCACCACCAGGAGAUACACGUGGCAACUGCAGCUCUUGAGACAGAAUGGGUGAUAUAGGAGCCCCUUUCUUUGGAGGUGCUGUAUCUGUGAUUCAGGGCAGCUUACACAGAAAUAAAUUAAAAAAGAUGGAAUCCUGUCCCCAAAGGGCUCACAAUCUAAAAAGAAACAUAAGGCAGAUACUAGCAACAGUCACUGGAGGUACUGUGCUGGGGGUGGAUAGAGCCAGUUACUCUCCCCCUGCUAAAUAAAGAGAAUCACCACAUUAAAAGGUGCCUCUUUGCCAGGUUAGCAGGGGUUGUAGCAAUGAUGUUGAUGAUGGGCAUGCUCCCCCAUUACUUAGACCCUUGGGUCUAGCAUGUGGCGACUGCAGCUCUUGAGGUGUUGCAGGUUGGGUAGGCUCCCCUUCCUUUAGAGUUGCUAUCUCUGUGUGGUCUUCUUGGGGCUCUUCAGCAUCAGAAGGAAGCAUGCAUAGAGGUUGUAGUCAGAGGCACUCUUACCCCUUCUAGGUAAGAAGAGGGCCUCCACACCCUCUGGGGACCCCCAAAUCCUCUUUAGUCUGUCCCAGGUGGUGUGGCCACAUUAAAAAAUGUGUUUAAAAUACUGUAUUAAAAAUACUGCGUGUGCCACGGUGUGUGUGUGUAGGGUGAUUAUGCUUAAUGGGGGGUGGGGCUCCAAAGGCCUUUAGGUCCAGGCUCCAAAAUUACCUAGCUGCACCUUUGGUUGUAGUCUUGGUGCUUGGCUUGGUUAGGUCACUGGUGGUUGUGCUAUUGAGUCCUUCUGGUGUGGUCUGCAGGGGAUAAGUAUCCAUUACAUUAUCACUGUCUGUGAGUUCAGAAUUUGAUCAGGAGAAGAGUGUUGUCAGUGACUGUGUUUGGGCUUGAACAGCCAUGAGUGGCUUUUUCAGUUCUACAAAAUCUAAAUCUAUCUGAAAAUCUUCUAUGACUUUCACUCUCUCCCGGCCAUAUAGAGUUAGUCUGCUCAGUCUGUUUGAGUUCAGCAAAGUUUGCAAGCUGUUUAUUGAAGUCUAAGCUUGUUCCCCUGGACGUUUUUCACACCCAGCUUUUAAUUCGCAUCUCUUCUGGUAUUGAGGUGUGCAUUCACAUAUCACCAAAUUUACUCCAAAGACCCUGAGAUCUAUCAGAGAGCCCUUCACACAAUUUGGGAGUUUUGUUGCACAUUAGAGUGUAGCCUGAUUUAUAUCCGGGGUUUUAAAAACCCACUUUUUGAGUCAGUUUUGGGGGGCAACUUCGAACUCAUAAUAAAGUCUCGCAGAAAACCCACAGCAAAGCCUGCUGUCAGGGAACGGUCCUGGAGGUUUUUCACACAUGACGUUUAGCCCACAUCCCCUCCUGAAUGGAAGCUGCAAGUCCACAUAUCAGCUGGAUUAGCCCCAAAGUCCCUGCGAGCUAUCAGGGACCAGUACACAACUGACUCUGCUUUUCCCCAAAGUAUUGUUAAAAAUUACUGCGCAUUCUAGCUUGGCCCAAAUUAUGUUUUGCAUUAAAAAAUCCUCUAUUUGUGACAACUUUUCUUUGAAAACCCGAGCUUUCUUGAAUGCCGCAGGACUUCUCCUUUGAUGUGUAGAUUGGCCAUUGGCGGUAAUUUGCAUUAUGGUCUGCUCUGAGUGAUUUGCAGUUGCAAGUGCUGGGGGGGGAGGGGUUGUGGCAGAUUGGUUCUGCCACUCUAUUCUUCCAUAACCAGCUGUCAAGCUCUCUCACCUCCUCCUCUGUCUCUGAUAUGAUUGGAGUAUCUGCUGAUACUCCUCAUAGCCUCCCCCUGCCUUGGAGGGUCAGCAAGUUGCCUGCCCGCAUUUCUGGUCUGCUGUUGGGAGCAAGACCAGCCCUGCUGUCACUGUGUGACCCCUUUCCCUGCUCACCCUUGUGGAGCGGGGCAAUGCCUUUGAAGCAAAGCACCUCUGGGCUGUGAAGACCUCCCUGUGUCCCACCCGCCUGCUUGCCUUCCUUCCUCACUCUCACCCGUGGUGUGUGCCUGUUUUGUUUUUCUGGCUGCCUGCUGUGUCAGAUCAUGGGCUGGGGAGUGGUGGCAGAAGCAGUGACAAAAAUCACUGCUGGGGCACAUGAACCAGGAGGAUGCUGGGGAUUGACUCCCUGCACCAAGCAAGAAGCGCAGGGAUGCAGCUACAGUAGCAGCAGGGGGGGCAAGUUGAAGCAGAGAAGCUUCUGCAGCCAUACUCCCUCACUGCUGGGGGUCCCGGUCAUGCCCUCCCUUCCAGGCAACCCCCUCCCCAUCCAUGCCAUCACCCCCCACCAACACCCCCGCCUUGCCUACCUGGCCAGAGAGACUCUAGGAGUGCCACCGACUUCUCCCAACAUCACCCACUUCAGCCCAGUCAUGUGAGGGAUGGAGAAAAAAACCCAGAGCAAUCAGUGAGAAUGCACAAAGGAGAAAGAUCACGGAGUGAAGAGGGGAGCCGAUGGCUAUGUGAACUGUCCAUCUAAUUCCCCAAAUUAAACUGCCUCGAAACAGCUGCAAAGUAGAUUCACUCCUCAAAUACCCCGAGACAAAAAGCCAUGUGUGAAAAACCUCCUGGAGACAUUAUUUGGAAACAAAUGCAGGCGAGUCAUAUCCAAGAGAGGGAGUGCAGCUUAUGAGACUAGCUGUUCAUUGGAGGCUGAAGUGCAGUGAGCAAAGAAGACCUAAGGUGAAUCUGGCACCGGUGCUUCAAACUGUGCUCAGCAACUGACCAGUGGAACUCUUAAGCACCAAUAGGAUGUGUUCCCAACAACCAGUCCCAGUUAGUAGUUUAUUGGCUGCAUUUUAACAAAUGGUGGUUACUACUAUUGCAGAAGACAACACUGGAGAUUACCAGAACAUGGAUGAUGGUGACCACACACAUACUUUCUAAGAGAGGCCACAGCUGGCACACCAGCCUCAGCUGAUGGAAGACACUCUGUGCCAUAGAACCCAUUUGGGUCUCUAGUGACAAGCAGGCUAAUUUUUGGCUAGAUUGUGUGCCCUGUGUUUGCAUGGGUGGACAAUCUAGAAUAAUCUUUUUGCUUUGGUGUUGUUGUUUUUUAAACGUCUCUUAUCAGUCAUUGUUCCACACCAGAGGUCAGCCCAAUUAAAAUUUUUCCACAUGCAAAUUAGCUUUUAACAGUUUUCUGUUGAAUAACACUACACAAUACUAAUUCUAAUUUGCUUCCUCAGCUGAACAAUGUACAAAUAAAACUGCAUAUAAUUGACAUUUUCCCUGACUGCAUAAUACAUUUUUAUUUUGUUCUGUUCGUUCAUUUGCAUCCAUCUCCUCCCUACCCUUGAAGUAGCUUUAAAUAACAAAUAAAAUAGUUUUUAAAACCA
This is a long non-coding RNA of Hemicordylus capensis (graceful crag lizard), 7036 nucleotides long. RefSeq lists it as uncharacterized. The record is from RefSeq and is a predicted model, not a curated record. The transcript has 2 exons. NCBI's taxonomy places the organism in Eukaryota, Metazoa, Chordata, Lepidosauria, Squamata, Cordylidae.